RNAcentral lists this unclassified non-coding RNA (517 nucleotides) under uncultured Glomeromycotina. Its description in RNAcentral is "SSU rRNA". It matches the Rfam family "Eukaryotic small subunit ribosomal RNA", at positions 591 to 1114 of the family's 1831-position model. The record is from RNAcentral. Lineage: Eukaryota; Fungi; Glomeromycota.
CCAAUAGCGUAUAUUAAAGUUGUUGUGGUUAAAAAGCUCGUAGUUGAACCUUGGGCCUGGCUGGCCGGUCCGCCUCACCGCGUGUACUGGUCCGGCCGGGCCUUUCCCUCUGUGGAACCCCAUGCCCUUCACUGGGUGUGGCGGGGAAACAGGACUUUUACUGUGAAAAAAUUAGAGUGCUCCAGGCAGGCCUAUGCUCGAAUACAUUAGCAUGGAAUAAUAGAAUAGGACGUGUGGUUCUAUUUUGUUGGUUUCUAGGACCGCCGUAAUGAUUAAUAGGGACAGUCGGGGGCAUCAGUAUUCAAUUGUCAGAGGUGAAAUUCUUGGAUUUAUUGAAGACUAACUACUGCGAAAGCAUUUGCCAAGGAUGUUUUCAUUAAUCAGGAACGAAAGUUAGGGGAUCGAAGACGAUCAGAUACCGUCGUAGUCUUAACCAUAAACUAUGCCGACUAGGGAUCGGACGGUGUUAUUUUUUGACCCGUUCGGCACCUUACGAGAAAACAAAGUGUUUGGGUUC